This 640-nucleotide ribosomal RNA is filed under the name uncultured bacterium. Its description in RNAcentral is "bacterial SSU rRNA". It matches the Rfam family "Bacterial small subunit ribosomal RNA", at positions 240 to 898 of the family's 1533-position model. The record is from RNAcentral.
AUUAGCUAGUUGGUGGGGUAAUGGCCUACCAAGGCGAUGAUGGGUAGCGGGUGUGAGAGCACGACCCGCGUCAUUGGGACUGAGACACUGCCCAGACUCCUACGGGAGGCAGCAGUGGGGAAUAUUGCACAAUGGAGGAAACUCUGAUGCAGCGACGCCGCGUGAGGGAAGAAGGUCUUCGGAUUGUAAACCUCUGUCUUCAGGGACGAUAAUGACGGUACCUGAGGAGGAAGCACCGGCUAACUACGUGCCAGCAGCCGCGGUAAAACGUAGGGUGCAAGCGUUGUCCGGAAUUACUGGGUGUAAAGGGAGCGCAGGCGGGAAGGUAAGUUGGAUGUUUAAUCUACGGGCUCAACCCGUAUCAGCAUUCAAAACUAUUUUUCUUGAGUAGUGCAGAGGUAGGCGGAAUUCCCGGGGUAGCGGUGGAAUGCGUAGAUAUCGGGAGGAACACCAGUGGCGAAGGCGGCCUACUGGGCACUAACUGACGCUGAGGCUCGAAAGCAUGGGUAGCAAACAGGAUUAGAUACCCUGGUAGUCCAUGCCGUAAACGAUGAUUACUAGGUGUGGGAGGAUUGACCCCUUCCGUGCCGCAGUUAACACAAUAAGUAAUCCACCUGGGGAGUACGACCGCAAGGUUGAA